This is a long non-coding RNA of Mus musculus (house mouse), 659 nucleotides long. RefSeq annotates it as predicted gene, 40948. NCBI's taxonomy places the organism in Eukaryota, Metazoa, Chordata, Mammalia, Rodentia, Muridae. The transcript is spliced from 3 exons. The record is from RefSeq and is a predicted model, not a curated record.
UAUAUUGAAGACUAAACAACGUUUGUCAGGAAAUGAAGCGGGGAGGACCAGAGGGGAUGAGCCGUCAGAAGCCUGCAGUGCCUAGGAGCUGACAACAGAGUAGUCAUGAACCUCAGGUCUGAAGUCAUAGCCAAGGACAACGUGGCCUACCUAGAAAGAUCAGCCCAAAGCAUGUUCCAGGGUUUGACCUCAAGUCACCGGGUUUGUUCUGCAAGUACUUUUACCCACGGAGCCAUCUCUUGAGCCCCACAUUUUAAAACAUGCUGUGGAAAGUGUUGUACUAUAAAAAUUCUCGAUGCAUCUCAGGAUAAGUACAUAACUUUAACUGUUGCACUGUGCAAAUGGAUCGAAUCUGUGACUGAAAAUUAACAGAGAUGUUGAACUUGGUAAAAAUGAGACUUCGCCCUAUGCAUGGACUUGGUGUCACAGCAGUGUAUAAUUCAUGGGGGAAAAAAAGCCAUAAGACAUACUCUAACUCAGUGCAUCCAAACUUAACCUCCAUCCUCCCUCCUGAGCCCACCCCUCCCCCAUUCUUUCCAACCCAGAGACUAACAUCCCAAUGACCUCUCUUGCCCUAGCCAAUGGGACUCUGUCCUGCCUGACUAAAGCAUCUUCUAAUCCAUCUUUUCCUCUUUUUAACCCCAUCUAUCACCAUCCUA